ACUACCCUACGGGGGGUAGCAGUGGGGAAUAUUGCACAAUGGGCGAAAGCCUGAUGCAGCAACGCCGCGUGAAGGAAGAAGGUCUUCGGAUCGUAAACUUCUGUCCUUGGGGAAGAUAAUGACGGUACCCUUGGAGGAAGCCCCGGCUAACUACGUGCCAGCAGCCGCGGUAAUACGUAGGGGGCGAGCGUUAUCCGGAUUUACUGGGUGUAAAGGGGGCGCAGACGGCCAUGGCAAGCCCGGUGUGAAAGGUGCGGGCACAACCCGCAGACUGCACUGGUAACUGCCUGGCUGGAGUGCCGGAG
This 305-nucleotide ribosomal RNA is filed under the name uncultured bacterium. RNAcentral's name for it is "bacterial SSU rRNA". It matches the Rfam family "Bacterial small subunit ribosomal RNA", at positions 333 to 654 of the family's 1533-position model. The record is from RNAcentral.